UUCUUCUACCUCAGCCUCCCAAAUAGCUGGGAUUACAGGCACGCGCCAUCAUGCCCAGCUAAAUUUUUGCAUUUUUAAUAGAGAUCGGGUUUUGCCAUGUUGGCCAGACUGGUCUCAAACUCCUGACCUCAGAUGAUCCACCCGCCUCGGCCUCCAAAAGUGCUAGGAUUUACAGGUGUGAGCCACUGUGCCCGGCCCCAGGCUUUAUUUCAAGAAAGCAUUCUUAAGAAGCUAUGAAAUGCCUCUGAAAAUUCCUUGCAACCUUGGAGUAACUUGAUCCGGAGCCUAGACACUUGAUUCUAGUCCUUGAUUUUCUUAUCACUUUCUGUAAACAUUGAAUAAACUACUGACUCUGCAUUGCCUUAGCAAACAGAGUUUGUGUACAUACUGCAUCAUGGGGAGUUAACAAAACCAACUGAAUUCACAGUGGCUGCUAUGAUCAGGACAACUAACGUGGUUGAACUAGAAUGGAUCUUAGGAAGUCACUUUUCUUUUGCCAGUAACACAUGCAUUCUUGUGCAUGAAGCAAUGUAUGGCUGACAGCCAUCAACUGAAUUACUCAACAGCUCCUCUUUGGUGCAAUGCACUGUGUUGGACUCUGAUACCCUGAAUUCUUGAUCCUCAAGGCAUCGCCAGGACAUUGGACUUUAGGAUGCAAGAGAAGAUAAGGAAGACAAGAUCUCAACCACUUUCAGCAAAGCUUUGCGGAGAAUGCAACAUCCUUCAAGACACCAUGAAGCUCCACGCAUCUGGUCAUCUUGUUUCUUCAGGGAAUAAAUUUAUUGUUCUCUGCUUCAGGGCAGGCACACUUGGCCAGUAAAGAAAAUCCCCCCAGCAGAGAAUUGCAGAUACUCACAGCAAGAAGCCUUUCUUGUGAAUGGAGGAUGGAUGUGGAGCUGGUCCGAGCAGUCUGCCUACUGCAUCUGCUAUGACACCCAGCAAACUGGAAGGGAAAAGCAGUUACAAAGUUUCCAACCAGCACAAAUUCCAUAGUCAGGU
RNAcentral lists this long non-coding RNA (999 nucleotides) under Homo sapiens (human). Its description in RNAcentral is "HSALNT0101355". Lineage: Eukaryota; Metazoa; Chordata; Mammalia; Primates; Hominidae. The record is from RNAcentral.